AUUUGUUCAUCUUCUACAAUGAACCUUCAAGUGAACAGAAAUAGAAAUGAAUGCUACUGUAGAACCACCUGGUGUAAUGUUUUGGAAAUUGAUUUGCCUAUAUCCUUAACCUUUCUCAUGAGCUUUAUUCCAGGAGGCAGCUGCUAACAAGAGGGAAUAUAUUGUAAUUACUUUGUGGUCUCCACCCACUUCCCAAAUUAGAUCCUACUCCCUCUCCCUAAAGUAAAGGUAAAAGUCCCAUUCAUAUCAGUCCAGCCAGAAUCAGUUCCCUAAGGUACAGGUUUCAUUUCAACGUGUAGAUAGUAAUAUGGAUACACUUCCUUGUCUCAUCUGUCUGCAGUACGAAGUUUUAAGUUUAAAGAAGGCCACCAAGAACACAGACGAAGCACAGUUUAGCCAUGAGCUUAAUUUGAAAAAGCCAAGCGCCAAUGCUGUCUGCUUGAUAUCAGUAAAGGUAUUUGCUUGCUGUUCAGCAUCCUUAUUAACAGCCCGUCAGACACGUGGAAGAGGGAUGUUGUGACAGUAAACAGCAAUGCUGUGAGCAGGAGGUGAACUGGAAAAUGAGAGCAACAAGUCAAAUGUACUGUUGCUGAACAUUGUAAUCUCCACUAAUUCCACUUGAUUAUUUUGACAUAAUUUGCAGCACAAAUUAUGCUAGAUAAAUUAGGGGGCUUACUCCCACAUGCGUUUCAAUGUUCCUAGAGACCUUCCUCCACCUCCUCCUCGAUUCCUUCCACAGCAGGGUGCACUUGUGAUUAAAUGUAUUUUGCACAAUAUGCUGACUGUUGUUACUUAUGAUAGUAACUGGUGGUUAGCGUUGAGGCAAUUUUUAGCGUUAAACACAACUCUCUCUUUGUUUCUGAUGAACAGUGAACAAACAAAUUGAGGGAAGAUAAACCCUCUGGUUUAGGAAUUAGUUUAACUGAGCUCUUCUCUUUCUUUCGCCCCUUUUCACCAUUCAAAAAACCAACCCCAGAUACCUGUGCGGUUUUAAACAGUUAUUUUUCUAGGAGCUUUGUAGUGUUCUAGGCAUCGGAUA
RNAcentral lists this long non-coding RNA (1039 nucleotides) under Anser brachyrhynchus (Pink-footed goose). RNAcentral describes it as "lncRNA (ENSABRG00000007880.1)". The record is from RNAcentral. Lineage: Eukaryota; Metazoa; Chordata; Aves; Anseriformes; Anatidae.